Molecule: ribosomal RNA, 436 nt
Filed under: uncultured Oscillospiraceae bacterium
Lineage: Bacteria; Bacillati; Bacillota; Clostridia; Eubacteriales; Oscillospiraceae
Description: bacterial SSU rRNA
Rfam family: Bacterial small subunit ribosomal RNA
Source: RNAcentral
ACGGAAGGCAGCAGUGGGGAAUAUUGGGCAAUGGGGGAAACCCUGACCCAGCAACGCCGCGUGAAGGAAGAAGGCCUUCGGGUUGUAAACUUCUUUUAAGAGGGACGAACAAAUGACGGUACCUCUUGAAUAAGCUCCGGCUAACUACGUGCCAGCAGCCGCGGUAAUACGUAGGGAGCAAGCGUUAUCCGGAUUUACUGGGUGUAAAGGGCGUGUAGGCGGGACAUCAAGUCAGAUGUGAAAGCACGAGGCUUAACUUCGGGUCUGCAUUUGAAACUGACGUUCUUGAGUGUUGGAGAGGCUAACGGAGCUCCUAGUGUAGCGGUGAAAUGCGUAGAUAUUAGGAAGAACACCAGUGGCGAAGGCGGUUAGCUGGACAAUAACUGACGCUGAGGCGCGAAAGCGUGGGGAGCAAACAGGAUUAGAUACCCUGGUA